RNAcentral lists this ribosomal RNA (253 nucleotides) under uncultured bacterium. RNAcentral describes it as "partial 16S ribosomal RNA". It matches the Rfam family "Bacterial small subunit ribosomal RNA", at positions 524 to 776 of the family's 1533-position model. The record is from RNAcentral.
UACGUAGGGUGCAAGCGUUGUCCGGAAUUAUUGGGCGUAAAGAGCUCGUAGGCGGUUUGUUGCGUCGGCUGUGAAAUCCCGAGGCUCAACCUCGGGUCUGCAGUCGAUACGAGCAAACUAGAGUGUUGCAGGGGAGACUGGAAUUCCUGGUGUAGCGGUGAAAUGCGCAGAUAUCAGGAGGAACACCGGUGGCGAAGGCGGGUCUCUGGGCAACAACUGACGCUGAGGAGCGAAAGCUAGGGGAGCAAACGGG